This is a long non-coding RNA of Danio aesculapii, 296 nucleotides long. RefSeq lists it as uncharacterized. The record is from RefSeq and is a predicted model, not a curated record. Lineage: Eukaryota; Metazoa; Chordata; Actinopteri; Cypriniformes; Danionidae. The transcript is spliced from 3 exons.
AUUAUGAUCUUUUUUUUUUUUACCGUGAGUGAGUGUGUGACUUCUCCAGGGUUUGUACACGAUUCCUCCUUGAGAGACCGCUACGUUGCCAUCGUCUUCAACCUCAUAACCUUUAAAAGUUUUGGGGCAACAUUCCUGCCUCAUUCCUGACAAAUUUCCGGAGCAGAAAAACUUGACAGUGGUGUCUAGGAAUGCAGCUUACAGCAAUAGCGUAGCUCGCACAGAGAACGAGGAGUGCGAUGCUGGCGAUGAAGAGGAUGACUAUGGAGAGAAACGCAGCCGCUGGUUGCUCUGUG